GAUGAACGCUGGCGGCGUGCCUAAUACAUGCAAGUAGAACGCUGAAGCUUGGUGCUUGCACCGAGCGGAUGAGUUGCGAACGGGUGAGUAACGCGUAGGUAACCUGCCUGGUAGCGGGGGAUAACUAUUGGAAGCGAUAGCUAAUACCGCAUAACAGUCGACAUUGCAUGAUGUUGAUUUGAAAGGGGCAAUUGCUCCACUACCAGAUGGACCUGCGUUGUAUUAGCUAGUUGGUGAGGUAACGGCUCACCAAGGCGACGAUACAUAGCCGACCUGAGAGGGUGAUCGGCCACACUGGGACUGAGACACGGCCCAGACUCCUACGGGAGGCAGCAGUAGGGAAUCUUCGGCAAUGGGGGCAACCCUGACCGAGCAACGCCGCGUGAGUGAAGAAGGUUUUCGGAUCGUAAAGCUCUGUUGUAAGAGAAGAACGAGU
RNAcentral lists this ribosomal RNA (436 nucleotides) under Streptococcus sp. oral taxon 068. Its description in RNAcentral is "bacterial SSU rRNA". It matches the Rfam family "Bacterial small subunit ribosomal RNA", at positions 28 to 454 of the family's 1533-position model. The record is from RNAcentral. Lineage: Bacteria; Bacillati; Bacillota; Bacilli; Lactobacillales; Streptococcaceae.